Molecule: ribosomal RNA, 253 nt
Filed under: uncultured bacterium
Lineage: Bacteria
Description: partial 16S ribosomal RNA
Rfam family: Bacterial small subunit ribosomal RNA
Source: RNAcentral
UACAGAGGUCUCAACCGUUGUUCGGAUUCAUUGGGCGUAAAGGGUGCGUAGGCGGUCGUGCAAGUCGGAUGUGAAAUCUCAGGGCUCAACCCUGAAACUGCAUUCGAUACUGCGCGGCUAGAGUGCUGGAGGGGAGACUGGAAUUUACGGUGUAGCAGUGAAAUGCGUAGAUAUCGUAAGGAAGACCAGUGGCGAAGGCGGGUCUCUGGACAGUUCCUGACGCUGAGGCACGAAGGUCAGGGGAGCAAACGGG